RNAcentral lists this ribosomal RNA (245 nucleotides) under uncultured bacterium. RNAcentral describes it as "partial 16S ribosomal RNA". It matches the Rfam family "Bacterial small subunit ribosomal RNA", at positions 88 to 334 of the family's 1533-position model. The record is from RNAcentral.
AUGGCGACCGGCGCACGGGUGAGUAACACGUAUCCAACCUGCCGAUGACUCGGGGAUAGCCUUUCGAAAGAAAGAUUAAUACCCGAUGGCAUAGUUCUUCCGCAUGGUAGAACUAUUAAAGAAUUUCGGUCAUCGAUGGGGAUGCGUUCCAUUAGGUUGUUGGCGGGGUAACGGCCCACCAAGCCUUCGAUGGAUAGGGGUUCUGAGAGGAAGGUCCCCCACAUUGGAACUGAGACAUGGUCCAA